RNAcentral lists this ribosomal RNA (133 nucleotides) under uncultured bacterium. RNAcentral describes it as "partial 16S ribosomal RNA". The record is from RNAcentral.
UCCUGAGGUUUACCGAGACCGUUUCCUUUCCUACAAAUCAUUUUACAACCCUAAGGCCUUCUUCCUUCACGCGGCAUUGCUGGAUCAGGCUUGCGCCCAUUGUCCAAAAUUCCCCACUGCCGCCCCCCGUAGG